RNAcentral lists this ribosomal RNA (502 nucleotides) under Megayoldia lischkei. RNAcentral's name for it is "partial 16S ribosomal RNA". It matches the Rfam family "Bacterial large subunit ribosomal RNA", at positions 1817 to 2598 of the family's 2925-position model. Lineage: Eukaryota; Metazoa; Mollusca; Bivalvia; Nuculanida sp.; Yoldiidae. The record is from RNAcentral.
CGCUCCUUGUUAUUUUUAUAUAGGGAGUCGUUUCUGCUCAAUGAUGUGCGCAUUCAAUAGCAGCGGUAUAAGUGACCGUUCAAAGGUAGUGUAGUGAAAUGCCCUUUAAUUGGGGGCCAAUGAAUGGAUUGACAGGUCGAUAUUGUCUCAUUUGUGUUUAUUAGAAUUUAACUUCGAGGUGAAGAGGCCUUGGUGCUAUAAAGGGACGAGAAGACCCUGUCAAACUUUAAUUGAAGGCAGUUGGGUUUUAGUGGUUUAAAUUUAAAUUGUUUUGAUUUUAGUUGGGGAAACUGGACAGGAUAAAUACUUUCCAAGGAUAUUAAAUUUGAUGGUGUGGGAUCCAAAAGUUUUGAAUUUAGAAUAAGUUACUGCAGGGAUAACAGCGUAAUUCUUUUAAAGAGUUCUUAUUGAAAAAAGAGUUUGCGACCUCGAUGUUGAAUUGGAGCUGUCUUUCAGGUUGUAGCAGCUUGAGGAGUGGGUCUGUUCGCCCUUUAAUGUGUCC